AAAAAGAUAAGCUAAUAAAGCUAAUGGGUUCAUACCUCAUUUAUGAAAGUUUAAAUCUUUCUCUUUUUA
Molecule: transfer RNA, 69 nt
Filed under: Chrysomeloidea sp. 3 KM-2017
Lineage: Eukaryota; Metazoa; Arthropoda; Insecta; Coleoptera
Description: tRNA-Met
Rfam family: tRNA
About the family: Transfer RNA (tRNA) molecules are approximately 80 nucleotides in length. Their secondary structure includes four short double-helical elements and three loops (D, anti-codon, and T loops).
Source: RNAcentral